This is a long non-coding RNA of Zonotrichia leucophrys gambelii, 851 nucleotides long. RefSeq lists it as uncharacterized. The record is from RefSeq and is a predicted model, not a curated record. Lineage: Eukaryota; Metazoa; Chordata; Aves; Passeriformes; Passerellidae. The transcript is spliced from 4 exons.
AUGUGCAAACAGCAUUUCUGACCUUCCCCUCACUGACCAACUCAGCAUUAUCAGCAAGCUCUGUCCUCUCCUGAUCCACCCAGCAAAAAAAGCAGUGGCAGAGCUGAUCAGUCAAGAAAGUGGCUGCUUGUCCUUCAUAUCCACUUCACUCCAAACUUACUGAAGCACUGGAAACCUCAGAAGCAGCUAUUCCAGUUGCUCACAAUGUGCUCUUUGUUCCGUGCUUGGCUUAUCUUCGAGCACAAUGCAAUCUGAAGGAAGUACACCCACUCCCUGAUGUUUUCCUUGGGAGCCAGAAGUGUGUGUGCAGCGUUUUUUGGGGCAGUGAUUUUCUCUACACACCUGUUACUACGGGACACGAAAUAAUACAGCAUGGACAUGCAGUUUUCUCAAGUUCACUUUUAACGCCCAGCAACAGAGUGUGAGAGCUGCUGGUGCUCAGAGGUACAGAUUCCAUCUUAUCUGGUCUUUUAUCAUCUCUGCAUGAAAGAAACAUGUUUUAACCCAGCUCAGGUGGACUUGAUAGCUCUAUCUUUGUAGCCUUUUCUACAGUACUCCCCAAUGGCUGAUAAUAAUAUGUACUCAACCACCUUUAGGCCACUGUUGGGUCAAAUUGGGAAAAAUAUAGUAGUUUCCAAAACUUGAAACCCUUGCAUAGGUGACAAGAGAAAAAAGAAGUGUAAAUCCAGGCAAAAUUCUGGAGGUGGCCAGCAGGUUUAGUGGCAAUCUGAGGGGGAUUCAAUGCCUCUUUCAAAGAGGGUCUGCACACAGAUUUGCUGACAGCCUGCACCAUUUCUGCUUUUCUUGUUGGGAGUCUGCACUUUCAGGGAGAAUCCUGCUGCCUGUGGAGG